UUCCUGAGGGACUAGUGGUUAGGCCAUGGCACUCCCACUGUUGCGGCCCGGGUUUGAUUCCUGGCCGGGGAG
Pangasianodon gigas (Mekong giant catfish) is the source of this 72-nucleotide non-coding RNA. The record is from the annotation of a GenBank genome assembly. Lineage: Eukaryota; Metazoa; Chordata; Actinopteri; Siluriformes; Pangasiidae.